Molecule: ribosomal RNA, 328 nt
Filed under: uncultured eukaryote
Lineage: Eukaryota
Description: partial 18S ribosomal RNA
Rfam family: Eukaryotic small subunit ribosomal RNA
Source: RNAcentral
CCCUUAGAUGUCCUGGGCCGCACGCGCGCCACACUGAGUGUCUGAGAUACGAGUCUGCCUAGCCGGCGAGGUCUAGGUAAUCGCUGAAAGACACAUCAUGCUUGGGAUAGAUUAUUGCAGAUAUUAAUCUUGAACGAGGAAUUCCUAGUAAGCGCAAGUCAACAGCUUGCGUUGAUUACGUCCCUGCCCUUUGUACACACCGCCCGUCGCUACUACUGAUUGGAUGUUUAAGCGAGGUUCUCGAACUGCUAGCGACUUAGCUUCGGUGAGGUCGCCGUGUGGGAAGUGAACCGAGCUUUGGUGUCUAGAGGAAGUAAAAGUCGUAUCA